Molecule: unclassified non-coding RNA, 357 nt
Filed under: Echinoderma asperum
Lineage: Eukaryota; Fungi; Basidiomycota; Agaricomycetes; Agaricales; Agaricaceae
Description: partial internal transcribed spacer region
Rfam family: Eukaryotic small subunit ribosomal RNA (bases 1-46)
Source: RNAcentral
AAGUCGUAACAAGGUUUCCGUAGGUGAACCUGCGGAAGGAUCAUUAUUGAAUAAACCUGGUGGGUUGUUGCUGGCUCCUUGGAGCAUUGUGCACACUCAUCAUCUUUAUCUGUCCACCUGUGCACUCUUUGUAGUCUUGGGAAAGAGGGGAGGGGCCGCGCUCUGUCGGGGUAACACACCCGGAUGUGAGGACUGUUGUGCACAAGUACAGCUUUACCUCUGCAUGCAUUACCUUCUUCUCCCCCAGGUCUAUGUGGUUUCAUACACCCCUAUAGCAUGUCAUAGAAUGUAUUCAAUGGGCCUAUGUGCCUUUAUAAAACAAUUAUACAACUUUCAGCAACGGAUCUCUUGGCUCUC